AAGGCUAGGCAUAUUCUGUUGGGAGAGCAUUGACUCAAAAACUCAAAGAGCUUAUUCCGAGACAAAUGUUUAAAGUGCCCAUCCAGGCUUGUAUAGGAUCAAAAGUGAUUGCUAGUGAAGCUCUCUCAGCUAUCAGGAAGGAUGUUUUGGCCAAAUGUUAUGGUGGAGAUAUUUCUCGGAAGAAGAAGCUUCUUAAGAAGCAAGCGGCAGGCAAGAA
This is a long non-coding RNA of Brassica oleracea var. oleracea, 217 nucleotides long. RefSeq lists it as uncharacterized. Lineage: Eukaryota; Viridiplantae; Streptophyta; Magnoliopsida; Brassicales; Brassicaceae. The record is from RefSeq and is a predicted model, not a curated record. The transcript is spliced from 3 exons.